Molecule: ribosomal RNA, 484 nt
Filed under: uncultured bacterium
Lineage: Bacteria
Description: partial 16S ribosomal RNA
Rfam family: Bacterial small subunit ribosomal RNA
Source: RNAcentral
AUUGAACGCUGGCGGCAGGCCUAACACAUGCAAGUCGAGCGGAUGAAGGGAGCUUGCUCCUGGAUUCAGCGGCGGACGGGUGAGUAAUGCCUAGGAAUCUGCCUGGUAGUGGGGGAUAACGUCCGGAAACGGGCGCUAAUACCGCCUACGUCCUGAGGGAGAAAGUGGGGGAUCUUCGGACCUCACGCUAUCAGAUGAUCCUAGGUCGGAUUAGCUAGUUGGUGGGGUAAAGGCCUACCAAGGCGACGAUCCGUAACUGGUCUGAGAGGAUGAUCAGUCACACUGGAACUGAGACACGGUCCAGACUCCUACGGGAGGCAGCAGUGGGGAAUAUUGGACAAUGGGCGAAAGCCUGAUCCAGCCAUGCCGCGUGUGUGAAGAAGGUCUUCGGAUUGUAAAGCACUUUAAGUUGGGAGGAAGGGCAGUAAGUUAAUACCUUGCUGUUUUGACGUUACCAACAGAAUAAGCACCGGCUAACUUCGUG